Molecule: ribosomal RNA, 533 nt
Filed under: uncultured bacterium
Lineage: Bacteria
Description: bacterial SSU rRNA
Rfam family: Bacterial small subunit ribosomal RNA
Source: RNAcentral
AAUAGAUACCCGGGUAGUCCUAGCCGUAAACGAUGAACACUAGGCGUAGUCGGUAUCGACCCCGGCUGUGCCGUAGCUAACGCAUUAAGUGUUCCGCCUGGGGGAGUACGGCCGCAAGGCUAAAACUCAAAGGAAUUGACGGGGGGCCCGCACAAGCAGCGGAGCGUGUGGUUUAAUUCGUCGCAACGCGAAGAAUCUUACCAGGGCUUGACAUGUGGCGGAAAACGGCGGAAACGUCGUCCUCCCGCAAGGGACCGUCAUGCAGGUGUUGCAUGGCUGUCGUCAGCUCGUGUCGUGAGAUGUUGGGUUAAGUCCCGCAACGAGCGCAACCCCCGUGGCAUGUUGUAUCUCUCAUGCCAGACUGCCGAGAGAAACUCGGAGGAAGGUGGGGAUGACGCCAAGUCAGCAUGGCCCUUACGUCCUGGGCUACACACACGCUACAAUGGCCGGUACAACGGGUUGCCAAACCGCGAGGUGGAGCUAAUCCCUUAAAGCCGGUCUCAGUUCGGAUUGCAGGCUGCAACUCGCCUGCA